UCCUUUCCGAGAGUUUCAUACCUCAACUAUUCAUUAUACUUUCUGCCAACCGAAACUAUCACUCCCUUUGUAUUAAAACACAUCUCGAUGCAGAGUUGGCUAAAUAUUUGUUCUCAAUAGACAACAGGCACAUGAGGCCAACUCAACAUCGAGGUGUGUUUUAAAUUUUAAUACAAAGGGAGAGAUAAUUAAGGUAUAAAACUUGCAAAAAGGUGAUUGUUUAGGUAGGUAAAUAGAACAAUGAAUAGUUGAAGUAUGAAAGAUGAAAAGGUGAUAGUAACCAUUAACUCUAUAACUCAUUACUAUUAAAACUUAGAAUUUCUGUUUCUGUUUAGACAACUGAUAAUAUGAGUUCCCUGUAUCGUAAUAGUACAAAGUUUUCACUAGUAUUUUCUUCCCUCAAUUAUUAUAACCAACUAACAAUACUGGUCCAAGUUGAGCUUAGACCACACAUAUUGCACUAAAGUGGAUUGCUAUUUUCUGAAAUUUGAAUUUUUAUACAUCAAAAAUCGAAACUGUAAAGAGUUUUUUGGACUAGUUGUCCUUAUAAACCGCAUACAGAUAACAACAAAUAGUAAGGUGAAUUUAUAACAUGAGAAAAGAUGAUAACUAACCAACUAUAACCAGGUUGUUAAGCUACAUACGUUACACUAUAUGUGAACGUAUAUGUUGGUUGAGACGUUUUUUUUUUUUUUUUUGUAAAAUUGUAUAUUUUAUUGAUCAUCAACUCCUUCUUAAAUAUUGCUAUUACAAUUAAACUUACCAUAAAAAAAAAAAACUAUUUGCUACCAAAAAUAAUAACUAAUCAUUCUCCUACAACAAACAACAAAUAGGAAUCCCAAUUUGACUAGGACUUGUAUGGAAUAAAAAAAAGGAUUAUUCCUUAAAGCAACUUUUAACAGUAUAAUACUUAAAUCCUUUUUGUUACAUGUUAGUAUGAAAGAAACUUACCCCCAUGGGAGGUUGGAGGGGUUGCGGUUAGAGACAACUUGGAUGACUUUUCCAUCGACAGAGAUGCCAUCAGUGCCAACCGGCUUGACGUCAGCCUCAAAGAUACCAAGGGUGGAGUCAUAUUUGAGAAGGUGAGAGGCUUGUUUGACACCACCAGUGUCAUUGAUGGCAAUGACAUCAAGGGGAGAGUCUUUUCUACCAUGCCAACACCUCAAGAAGUUCCUUCCAAUUCUUCCAAAUCCAUUGAUGGCUACUUUCAACUUUGCCUCAGUUACUCCCUUCUUGUAAUUCUUCCCUCCUCCAAUCUACAUUUGAUAAAUCCAGUUUAACAUCAUAAGAAACAUCUUGUUAUACAAUGACCAUAAUUGUUGGAAGUACAAUUUACAACUUUAUACAAUGUUGUCAUUUGUUUUAGGCAUAAUACAUAGAAAGACACCUUAACCUGACUACAACUAGUAACUAAAAAUCCCAACUUUGAAAAUACACAUCUAGACACCUUAACUUGGUUUAAGUUGGCCAUGUAAACACACCAACUUUGAGUAGGCACAUCAAAAUGCACCCCCUUAAAAGGUAAGCAGAUGUGCAUUUUCAAUAUAAGGUGUUCGCAAAACGCACCUUUGUCAAGUUGAAGUGUCUAAGUGGUAAGAAUGAAAGUUUGGAUGCUCAGUUGUCAGUUGAGGCCAAGUUAUAGUGUCUAGAUUUGAUCACAACUAUACAUGACGGAUACAUAUUUUUCUUCAAUCUCUUAUUUUUUAAGGAUUUAACUUAUAUACAUCGAUAAUAUAUAGAUUUCCUACGCUAUCAAUAUAGUUUAUAUGUUGAAAAUAUGUCUCAGAAAUAAAGUAGGAAUAGAUAUUUUUAAUAGUUUUUAAUUAUUAGAGUACUAUGUGACUUAGGAAUAAGUUGUUCCUUUAUUAUUUGAAUAGGAAAUAGUUAUUCAAUUUAAAGUGGAGUGUAGUUAGAAAUUUAGCUAUAAAUACAUGUUUUGAGUUAUUAAUAAAAUAAUUCCCUUUGACAAUACUAUUGCCGUAUUUUAUUUUUCUCCAACUCUUUCUCUGUUAUUUCUCCAAUUUCAAAGCUAAAAUCCAACAAUUGGUAUCAAGAGUCAAUUUUUUUAGGGAUCUGUGAGAGAUGAAUUCUGAAAACAACUUUUCCCAAAUAGCUCCUCCUGUCUUGACGGUGAGAAUUACCAACUUUGAGCAAUAAGAAUGAAGACUUAUCUUGAGGCUUUAAAUUUUUGGGAGGCUAUGGAGGAAGAUUAUGAUGUUGUUCCGCUGCCCGAUAAUCCCACGGUAGCCCAGAUCAAAAGUUAUAAGUAAAAGAAAAUCAGAAAAUCAGAAAAUCAAAGGCAAAAGCAACUUUGUUUGCUAGUGUUUCUCCAAUAAUUUUCAUGAGAAUUAUGGCCUUUAAAUAAACAAAAGAAAUUUGGAAUUAUCUGAAGGAAGAAUAUACUAGAGAUGAAAGAAUACGAGAUAUGAAGGUAUUGAAUCUAAUAAGGGAAUUCGAAUUGCAAAAGAUGAAGGAAUCUGAGACCGUCAAAGAGUACUCAAACCGACUUCUUAGCGUUGUUAACAAGGUAAGAUUGCUUGGCACAAAAUUUAAAGAUUCAAGAAUUGUUAAAAAAAUUCUUGUUACUGUGCCUGAAAGAUACGAAGUAUCAAUAAUUACCUCCGAAAACACAAAAGACCUGUCCAAGAUUACCUUGGCAGAAUUAUUAAAUAUGUUGCAGGUGCAAAAGCAAAGGAGAUUUAUGAGGCAGGAUGGUAUGGUUGAAGGAGCUUUGGCAGCCAACCACAAGACUCAAAGCAAAGAUAAUAAUUUAAGAAAAAAUUACCCACCUUGCCAGCACUGUGGCAAAAUAGGUCAUCCUCCAUUUAAAUGUUGGAAGAGACCAGAUGCACAAUGCAAGAUUUGCAAUCAACUUGGCCAUGAAGCUGUGAUUUGCAAAAAUAAAUCUAAAAAAUAUGAAGCAGAAGCCCAAGUCACCAAAGAAAAAAAAGAAGAAAAUUACUUAUUCGUGGUAACAUCUUCAACCAAGAAAUCUGAUUUUUGGAUGAUUGAUAGUGGUUAUACAAACCACAUGACAUAUGACAAAACUCUUUUUAAAGAGUUUUUGCCUUUGAAAAAUAAGAAAAUCAAAAUUGGGAAUGGUGACUAUAUUCCUGCAGAAAGAAAAGGAAAUAUUGCAAUCAAAAUAAUUUCAAAUGUCCUUUACGUACCAUAUAUUGAUAAAAGUUUGUUAAGUGUUAGCCAGCAAAUGAAAGAAGGAUUUAAAUUACUAUUUGGAGACAAAUAUUGUCGAAUCUUUGAUUUACAAAUUGAUAUGAGGGGCAAAAUUUUCUUAUUUAAUCCAACAGAAGAUGCACAUAAGCCAUGCAAGAACAAAGAUGAAUUGGCAUUCAAGAGGUCAAAUUCAGCCAAAGCCAAGACAAUUUCUGAUCCAAGGAAGAGUGUUGAAAAUAUGUCUCAUAAAUAAAGUAGGAAUAGAUAUUUUUAGUAGUUUUUAAUUAUUAGAGUCCCACGUGACUUAGAAAUUAGUUGUCCCUUUAUUAUUUGAACGGAAAUUAGUUAUCCAAUUUAAAUUGGAGUGUAGUUAGAAAUUUAACUAUAAAUACAUGUUUUGAGUUAUUAAUAAAAUACUUCCCUUUGGCAAUACUAUUGCCGUAUUUUAUUUUUCUCUAACUCUUUCUAUGUUAUUUUUCCAAUUUCAAAGCUAAAAACCAACAGUUUAACCUAUUAUAACAGGUCAGUUAACAUUAUGAUCAUGUUAUUAAUCAAUGGCUAUCACAGAGAUUUACCUAUAUUUACCUUAUUAUGACCUGAUUGUUUAUAUGUUUGUUAAACUGUCAAUAUAACUUCAUCUAUUAUAACAGGUCAAUUAUCAUUUCAACCAUAUUACCUUAUAACUGACCUGAUUGUGUGUAAAUUUUUUAUACCGUCAGUGCACAAAACUUAAACUAUGUUAUUCGCAAGACUCAAUCAAAGUCAUUGAUAUCUAAUGCAGUAUUAGUAGUAGUAGUAAUACUCACAACAGAGGUCUGGAAGACAACAACAGAGAGCAAGUCAUCAUUAGUUUUCCUUCCAAAUGGAAUGGUUGAUGAGGUUCUCAAACCAGAGAAUUCAGAGAAUCCUUUGUUCCUGACCUGCAACAAGCCCAUCAAUUCAAUAAACAAAAACAAACAAAUUCAUAACUAUGCGUCAAUCCCAAACAAGUCGCGAUCAAUUAAUAAUAGUGUGUAGUAUUGUGAGUGAAUGAGGGACCUGGAGAGAAGAGUUGGCUACUGAGAAGGCAGCCGAAGCCAUUGUUGUUUUAGAAAUGCAGCAAUAGCAAUACUGUUUGUGUGUAGUAAACUAGUAAUGAAGAAGAAUUUGGUUUUUUGGUGUGGAAGUUUAUUAUGAAUGAAUGGAUGGAGGGAAGAAAAUGGAUGAGAUUAUGGAUGAUAGCAAGACAGAUAGCCUCUCACUCAAUUGUAUGGCUGUGGUUGCCUAUUUCAGUAUAUGUGUUCUUGGUUCCUAAUGUGCUAGACUUUUUUGUUUUUUUGCAUCAUAUGCUUACUGUUUAUGUUAGACAUCAACGUAUUGGUGUAUUUCCACGAAGUGGGGUAUGGGGGUAAAGUAUACGCAGUUCAUAUCACUAUCUCAGAUGACGUAGAGAGUUUGUCUCCGAUAGACCCCGACUGAGGACAACUGUUUAUAUUAGGCAUAAUACAAUAAUCUGAUGUUCAAAUUUGGCCUCGGCUGACAAGUAAACGCUCUAAUCUUGAGUAUGCAUAUUUAGACACCUCAACUUGUUUCCAUUGUGUCAAUAAAAUUCACUCCCGACAUACGAAAUGAUCAUCUAUACUCUUCCAAGAUUUAUGUGUCGCGUCGCGUCAGCAUCAGGUGUGCACGAGACACAAUGGGACGAGUUUGAGUGUUUAGUUGUACGUUAAGACAAGUUAAAGUGUUUGAAUGUACAGUUGGAGUACUUAUUUGUGAGGUAAAAUUAAAUUUGAGUUUUUAUUUAUGCAUUACGUCUUUAUUUUAUGAUCGAUGUUCAGAACUCAAUGAUCCAACUAUUAUGAGUUCGAUCAUAUGUUUCAUUUUCUUCUUUUAAUUAAUGAGUUUAACUUCUAAAUACAAAUAAAAUAAACUGCUUUUACACUAUAAUGUAAAAAAUAAUUAUAAAUAGUUCUUUCUAACAAGUAAAAUUACUAUAACUAGUGUCUAGAAAUAACUAGUCUGACUAAUUUAGAUUUGGUUAUUUCAUUGUUUUUUAUCAAUGAGUUUAACUAUUGAAUACGGAUAACAAUCUUAUACGCUAUCUAUCGGAUAAAAAGUAACUACAAGUAAUUAUUAUAAAUAGUGAAACUAAUUAAAUGAAAAACAAGGUAAAUAAUUAGAACAUAUCAAGUUAGAUCUUGAUUGAAAUAGAAAAACAAGUUUCAUAAAAUAAUGGUUAUGAUUGUCUUUCCUAUCCUACCCCAACCCUCAGCUCCCCCACCCCACCCCCACACUACCCUCUCCAUUCCGCCUCUAUUAGAGUCCGUUUGAGAUUGCUCUAUUAUAAAAGUGCUUUUAAAAAAAAAAAACAGUUUGUGUUUGGUAAAUUCAUUUGAAAAGUGUUCUUGAUAAUUAAAUUGUGUUUGGAUAAUCUUUUUCAAGAAGUACUUUUUUGAGACAAAUGACCAAAAAAGACAUCUAUCAAUAGAUUUUUAUUACUAAAAUUAAUUUAUUGAGAAAAAUUAUUUUAAAUAUCUAUCAUAAUAUUAUCUUUUUUAAAAUAUUUUUAUGGUGUCAAAAUUUACUACGAAUAAACAGUCAUCAUAUAUAUAUGUAUAUAUAUAUAUUAGUUUAGGUGUAAGCGUCUUGCACGUGUACCUCAUAACUUUAAUGAGUUCAAACAUUACACUAAAUAGGAUAUUUGUUUAAAUAAUAAAGAUGAAUAUAAUAAUUGAAUUUAAUAUCUUUUGAGUAUGUAAACAAUAACAAAAUAAUAGGAUAAUAGAGAUAUCAAAAUAAUACAAUUAAACCUAACCUUUACAUAGACUAACACACAAAAAUUUCUCGGAGCCGAUCAAGAUUCAUCUACGGUAUGUAAACUACCACAAAAUAACAAACUAAUAGAGAUAUUACGAUAAUACAAUUAAGCCUAAUAUUCACCUAAAAAAAUUUUCAAAACCGACUCACAUUCAUCUAGCAUCUGUAAAUUAAAAUAAAAUAAUAAGAUAAUAAGGAUAUCAAAACAAUACAAUUAAACCUAACAUUUACAUAAGAAAUUCUUCAAAGCCAACCGACAUUCAUCUACGACCUGUAAACUAUAAAAAAAAAAUAUAUAAUAGUGAUCACAAAGCUUCAAUUUUUAUCCAAUUAAUUCUUGUCUGAGCGAAAAUUUUGAUCAUAAACAAUAUAUAUAUACAUACAUGUUGAAUUCUAUUAUGCUGACAAAAACAAUGAAGAAGUUGAGGGCUAGAGAAUCAAGCAUCCACCAAUCUAGACAUGCAAUCGAAUCAAGUUAGAUGAUCAUCAAUCAUAUUCUUCCAAUAGACAAACCGGUUUGUUCUCUAAUGUAAUGUACAUCUCAAUAUUUAUAGAAUAUUUUCUUAAUUAAUAGAGUCCUAUUUUAGGAGUAUUUUUCUAAUAGAACAGUAAAAAGGAAAAUAUUAAUUAAUUCUCUUACCAUAUAUUUUAGGAGUCGCAUAUAUUUUAGGAAGUCUAGUAGAAAUAAAAAUAUAAUUAAUUUUCCUACCAUAUAUUUUAGUAGUCUCAUAUAUUUUAGGAAGUCUACUUAAUAUAAUAAAAAUUAAUUAGAUAAUAAUUAAAAAAAUAGUGAAAAGACAGUUUUGUCUAAAGAAGAGUCUUUUAAUGAAUGGUAAAAGUUUAAAUCACUUUUCUAAGGGUUUUCACACUUUUAAUAUAUUAUAGAUAUAUAUUAUAGAUAUNNNNNNNNNNNNNNNNNNNNNNNNNNNNNNNNNNNNNNNNNNNNNNNNNNNNNNNNNNNNNNNNNNNNNNNNNNNNNNNNNNNNNNNNNNNNNNNNNNNNNNNNNNNNNNNNNNNNNNNNNNNNNNNNNNNNNNNNNNNNNNNNNNNNNNNNNNNNNNNNNNNNNNNNNNNNNNNNNNNNNNNNNNNNNNNNNNNNNNNNNNNNNNNNNNNNNNNNNNNNNNNNNNNNNNNNNNNNNNNNNNNNNNNNNNNNNNNNNNNNNNNNNNNNNNNNNNNNNNNNNNNNNNNNNNNNNNNNNNNNNNNNNNNNNUUAAUAAGGUAUAUAUAUAUAUAUAUAUAUAUAUAUAUGUACUUACACACACAUAUAUAUGUUUGAGUGUGGUAGGGAUAUUUUUAUCAUAAAAAAAUAAUUUUCUGUUUCUGCUUCUGCUUAUUUUGAGAAGCAAAUUUUUCUUAUUUUCAAGAAAAAUACUUAUUUUUAAGAAAAAUACUUUCAAGAAAAUUUUCUUAUUUUUUUAUUUUGAGAAGCAAAAAUUCUCUUAUUUUCAAGAAAAUUAAAAAAUACUUAUUUUCAAGAAAAAUACUUUCCGUCAUAUUAAACGCACCCUUCGAGAGAGUAUUUUUUAUGUGCAAUUUCAUUAUUCUUUUCUUAUAUUAAAGGUCUAUAUAAAUUGAUGACAUAGUAGUUAUUUCUAUCCAUAAGAAAUUGCCACCUUGGCACUAAGACUCCCUGCCAUUGGACAGCCAAUGACUAGAAAUCCUUUGUCCAUAUCCAUCUUAUUUAUGUUACCUCAUUUUAAAAAAAUGUAUUUAUUUUCCUUUGGUUCAUAUGAUGCUUCAAAUUAUAUUAUACAUUGAAAGAAACAUCAACAAUUUUUCAAAUUUGUGGCUUCAAAAAGUUUUCUUCCUUCAAAUGGUAUCUAUCCUUAUCCUUUGGAUUUGAAAUAGUGGUGUAUUUGGUAGGAAAGGAAAAUGAUUUUUAAAAAGUAAAUAAUUUAGUAUUUAUUCUCUAAUUAUUUUUAUUUAUUUUGUAAUAUUUGGUAAAUUAAUAUCUUAUUUGUUUGAUCAUAUUAUAUUGCUAUUAUUUUACCAAGUUUCAUAUUGUUGUUUAAUCGUAUUAUAUUAUCAUAUCUUAUUUCUAAUUUCAUAUUAUUUGAUUUAACAACAAAGUUUUUCAUAAAAUACAAUCUCAAUUCAUUUAUUUUUUCUAUGAACUUACAGAUAACAAAUCGUUCAACAAUUACAUAAAUCCGAUCUCCCUAGAAUAAAAUAGUUAUAAGUAAAAAUUGAGUUAGUCAACAUUCAUGAUUGUAGAAAAAAAACCAAUUUCUUUGCAUUUUCAGCUUCCUAAGCUGACUCAGAAUCUAGAAUUAUUGCAAGGUUUCAAUGUUGUUAUAGUUAACCAUGAGAAGUAAUUAAAUCAAUUUUUAUUUUAUUUAUUGUAAUUACUUUGUUGUUGGAAAGAUCAAAUUCAUGUCACUGUUGGACGGUCUGUUAUUCACAAAUUCAAAAGAACAAUAAAGGAACUGAGUUGUAUUUAAUGAAAAACUUUGUUGUUAGAACUAAAUAAUAUGAAAUUUGAGACCAAUAAACAUGAACUGAAGCUGACAUUUAUUCAUAAGACGAGUAUAGAAGAGAUAAACGAUCCACAUUUUGGUUAUGGUGGCAUUAAAAUAAAAUGUUCCUUUUCCUCCACUUUCUGGAGAAUUAUCAUAUUGGUUGGUAAUUGGUUCAAAUAAAAGCAUAUUGUUUUUUAGUAGCUUAUAGAAUCAAUUCUUGAAAAUUUUAUGGAUUCAUCAACUAUUUCUUUUUGGAUAUGCAUAACUAUAGAAUAUUAUCUGAAAUAUUAUUUACUUGGAAGGCAAUAUGUGGGUCGCAUUAAAUGUCUAAUUAAAAAAUUGACUUUUUAUAAGAACAAUAAUAAUUGUCCCUCAAUUCCAAAUUACUCUGGGUAUUCACAAAGAGAAUAAAGGCACAAAUUACUGCCUUCAUUAAUGUCGUUGCCGGACUUUUCUAGCGAUCAAAUACGUCAAAAAAAAAAAAAGUUUAAAUCCUCCUAUAUUCGAGAAAUACACUACAAACGGUCAUCGAAUCAUGUAGAAAAUUGAGAGAAGAAUCAAGUGGGGAACAGAAUUGUACCCGCACAAUUUAUUAAUAAAAUUUUUUAUUGCUUCACAAUUUCUUUCGAAUAGACAAAGUUAUUUAAUUUUUAAAGUAAAAAAGAAUAAAAAUGUCUAAAAGUUAACUAGUUCAUAGUGUUGAACAUAACUUUUUUCUAUUGUGGCCAAAUUGUCAAAUUGUGACCAAAAAAUUGUGGCCAAAACGACUUUUUCCACAUUUUAUUUGUGAUAAGCAAUUUAUUUCUAUCAUUACAAAAUUUGUCGUAAACAGAGCUAUUUUCUUGAAGAAAAAAAUCCUCUACCAUUACUCGAAAAUUAGGUUUAAGCAAUUAGCAUUUUCAUAAUAUGCAUUACAUAAAUUGCCAAGGAAGAUGCAGUGAAUUGCAUUUAUCACAGUGAUAUUAUACAAUGUUUUUCAUAAUAUAGUGUAGAUGCAUGUAUUUCUAGGUAAUUUGAUUGUGAAAUUAUACAUUUCUUCUUAAUCUUCCUAACUAAUUUACAAAAUGUGGCCAAGACUUUUUCAAUUGACAAUACUAAUGAAUGUUGCAAUUCCCCACUAAAGAAGGUACAUUGAAUAAUUACACUUCAUAAAAUCACCCACUAAAGAAGGUACAUUGAAUAAUUACACUUCAUAAAAUCACUUGACCAAGGGUUUAUUGGAAACGUCUCUGCCUGGGGGUAAGGCUCCGUACACAUCACCCUCAUCCUCAGGCCACCCCACGUUGUUGCAAGAUCAAAGUUUUAUUGAUGAUGUUCGACAGUUUUUGUCGAUGGUCUCCACACCCCACUAGUUGUUCUGGCAAUGUUCGGAGGGUCUUUCAGAGAUGUUGCAAGCUGAACUUCCAGUUUUGAAGGGUCCAAAGACAACAUUACGCAGAUAAAAUCAUCUAAAUCAAAGCCGCUUCCUGCAUCUAUGUUAUUAUCAUUGACGUUACCUGAGGAGGGGCCAGCUGAUUCUUCCGUGCUCCGCUCAGCAUCGUCUCCAGAAAUAGUAUCAGAAGUAGACUCCUUUACCUUGUAAUAAGAGUUUUGAUCUAAAUUCAAGAGCCUCUUUAUGCUAUCAAUCGCCGGAUCAAAGACAUCUAAGAAGCCCAUAAUCCAUGACUCAUCAUCGACAACUUCAGUACGCUGUUACACAGGGUAAAAGAGAUCAUGAAAUUUGUCUGUCUUCAAGUACUCUGAAGCUAAGUCAGUUUACCACAUUCAAGAUAGGUGGCCAAUGCCAAAAUGCGCGUCAAAGUGUAAACAAAAAACGUCUAAUGAUGUAAAGAUGGGGAAAGUGUAACAAUGAAUAUCAAGAAUGAGGCUUAACAUGUGGUCAUUGAAGGAAAUGACAUAUAUACCUGUUGAAAGUAGAGGUUACGAAUUUCCUCUGCACGGACAGAGUUACCUUGGUCUUCCUCCAAACUUGCCCAUGUCAUCCAUGUUAUAUAGCUCUGGGAGUUGAUGUUCAGAGACGAUCUAAAUAAUCUUCGAGCAGCUGAUAGAUUUCCAGCUCUUUGCUCCAAAACACCCCAAGCCUACAAAGCACAUUAAAUAGUUAUAGAAUUAUCAGUACAUUUCCUAUGAGAAACAUCGGAUGUAAACAAGAAACUUAACUAUUCAUUAGGACAAAGAACGGAUUAAGAUGCACGUUAGGAAUAAGCGUUUAAGGUUAACUCUCUCAAGCACUAAGAAGACCAGUUCAAGAGUUCACGUCAUCUUUAACUAGCCAUAUAUUAGUGUCCUAGAAUAUAUAACCUAAAUUACUCCUAUUAAUUAGGAAUCAACGUUACCUGAAGACAGCGUGCAGCACUUUCAGUUGUUGCGUUGAUGGAUAGAGCUUUCUGGUAUAGUUCCCGAGCAGUGGAAAUGUUUCCUUCUUUCCACUCCAUCCAACCCCAAGCCUACAUCAGUAUCAAGUUUAGUAAGCAUUUGAUGCACACAUGCAUGUUGAUGAGAAAGGUAGUUGUGGAAGAAUUAGAUUUCCACCACACGUAGAGAAACUAGAAAUAAAAUAUGAAAAUGGGCAUAUCUGAUAGGAAGAAAAAACGAUGUUCCGCCUUCAUUGGAAGGGGGAGUGAAGCAUCAGUGCGAAUGAAAGAUUGGAUUCCUAAAUAGACUAAAAUAACCUACAGUGACACUGCAAGUGGGAGCCGGAGCACAGGUAGAAAAUAGGUCAUAAAUAGAGACUUAGCAACUAAGCUUGUAGUUCUACUCAUCAAACUCAACUUCUCCUUGUUCCCCUAUUGCUCUGACUUUUGAUUUGUCUCGCCAGAAAACGGAUUACUGUCCGUCGAAAGUACAUAGAGCUAGGUAAUUGUAUUGUUCAUUGUUCCUUCUUCAUGUUGUCAAAGUUAUAAAUGUUAUCAUAUUAGACUGUUUCCUGAAAGCAAAUGGAAAAGCUCCACUGACUUCAUCAAUUGCAUUCAUCUCUUUUACUCCCUUCGUUUCAAUUUGUUUGUCUUUACUUUCUUUUUCUAGUCCGUUUCAAAAAAAAUGUCUCUUUCCUUUUUUGGCAACUCUUCAAUUCUAACUUUCCACCUGACAUGUUUAAGAGCCCAAAUUAAAGGUUAUCUUGGUACAUUCCACAUAUCUUUAGUUUAAGACCAAAAUCAGACAAACAAAUUGAAACGGAAGAAGUAAUUGUUUUUUGUUGAGCUAGCCUUUCAUUUUCCAAAGGUUGUAAAUGAUUCCAGUCAACUAUCCUAUUGAAAUUUAAGAACUAAUUAGCAUGGCGGAAAAGAAACAAAAUGCAGGAUCAUUUCCCAACUUCUGUAGGAAUUUUAAUAUUCAAAAGAUAAGUCUUACAAUCCAAACUGGUUGAUGCCUUGGAUCCAGUUGAGAUGCCCUCCGGAAUAAAACUCGCGCGAGGUUUGCAGUGGAGUUCUUAUACUCUAUUAAAGCAAGUGACUGGAGGAGAACAGGAUCUCUAGGAUUCACCAUGUGUCCUAUUGUUAGAAGUUUCCGUCCUUGGUUAAUGUUUCCUAGAUUAGCUUCAAAAACUCCCCACACAUGCCACGCAAACCUAUUUUUCGGACUGGCCUGAACUGCUUUCUGCUUUGUCAGGAAAAUCAAAUACGAGAAAAUAAAUUAACAAAUGGAUCAAAUAAAUAGGCAAUGCUCAAUGAUGAUAGCAAAGGAUCAACUUCAGAAAUACAAACCUCAAACAGCUGCCUAGCAGCACGGUUAUUCUCUAACUGAGCCUCUAAUUGAGCCCAUGCCUACGCAAGAGAAUACAGAAUAACUAUAAGGUAUCCACCAAAGACAUGCGCAUAAACCACUCAAAAAGAGUAGAGACGGAUUGAAGUCUUCGGACAACUCUUACCAGCCAACUAGCACAACUUUUUCGGUUACAUCUUGUUGCUUGCUUGAACAAAUAGCGGGCUCUUUCAUAUCGUUUGGCUUUAGCUUCGAGGAGUGCAAGAGUUUGGUACACAUACUCAUUACCUCCACAAAACUUGAGGCCUUUGCCAAGAAGAUUUCUUGCCUUCUUUAUAUUCCCUUGCUGCAGCUCUAAAACUGCCCAUCCAUGCCAGGCUGCAAUGUGCUUCUUGUCAGCGACUGUCGCAGCAUCAAAAAGUUCUCUAGCUCUCCGUAAAUUACCCAUCCUAUUUUCCAGAAUAGCCCAGCACUAGUCCAAAGGAGUAAGUUUGGUGAACUUUCUGAUACAAAAAAGAUAAGUUGCAAGAAGACAUGUACUAUGUCAUUUGGUUUUCAGCAAGGCACAUAAUCUGCGAAAGGAUGUUCUGAUUCGACCAUCCCAAUAUCUUUACAGUUAAUUAUUUCUUUCCACUAAGAAUAUCUAACAAAUUCAAGGACCAAUCCACUGAUAUAUGUUAGGAGACCGUCUCAUUAUUAUCGAUCAAAUUCUCUUCUUCGAUAUCUGAAAAUUUGAACUUCAUUCAGAGAAGUAUUACAUAAUGACCUUAGAAAAGAUUAUCGCCUGUAUAGCAAGGUGAAUAAUGCAAAACAUCCGAACGCUAGUAUACCAAUCAGUUGUUCCACAUUCCCAAAUUUAUUUUAUAUACGGGGUUAAAGAUCAUUAGGAAACUGAACAUAAUGUACUAUAACGAUCUUUACUGCUUUUACGAAUAUGACAUUCUUUUAGGUUACUAAAUCAUUAGAACUAAACACUAUGUAUUUAAACAACAGAUUCGAUAAACUUGAAAAUCAAAUUAGGCAUUACAGUAUACUAGUAGAGAAACUUUUAAUUACAACAGAUUCCUAUUCAAGCUUGAUAUUAAUGUAUAGUCCGGAAGCAUAGGAGUAGACUAAAUACACUCAUAAACACUGUUACAAACUAACCUGCCAAAUGUAAGGAUUUUCUCCUUGUGUUGCCUGGCAGCCUUUCUCAUAAACAGCUCUGGCUUCAUUUAGUUUUGAUUGCUUACUCAAAAUCUUUCCCAAAGCAACAUAUGAUCUCCCAUCUUCUGGCCAGACAUCAAUACACUCCACACGUAAAAGAUUCAGAAAUCAGUUACAUUAGUAAACGAAUAAUGUAAUGUCCUCUGAAUAUCAAGAAAAGACAAGGAAUGGUAAUCGUUUUUGGAUCAACAAAUGGCUACCUGCUCCAAGAUUUUCUCUGCAUCUGCGUACUGAAACUUUCGAGCCAAAAUCUUUGCCUUAUACAGAGCCAAGUCUAAAUUGACUUUAAGAGGCUUCUCCGCAGAACCAGAUUCCAGCCUCCUUGGCUCAAAAAUUGGCACUUUUUUUGCAAAUUUCUUAAGGCCAGCAUCAAGUGGAAAUGACAAGGAAGACGGUUGCCCUUCCUGGAGAUCGUUUCUUUCUUGAGAAUCCUCAACUUCUCUAAUCUCUUCCCCUUUCUCAUCACCAUCUUCCCCGUAUGGUUCCUUCACCGGCCUACGAACAACAAGUAACUCUUCCAAGGACUUCUUCGUAGUACUGAUCUCAUCAGCAACUUCAUCAUUGUAAAGUCUAUCUUGAGGAUCAAACUUAGAAGAAGAUUGUGAUGGUUCUGGCUUUUCUUCAAGAAGAGGUGAUGAGGAAGACAGCUCACGGGAACAUAAGGGAGGUAAAAUAGGAUGUGAAGGCGAUGGUUGGGAUGUUCUAAAGGGAGAGAAAACAUGAAACUUUGAGGGAUUCUGAUUCUGAGAAUGAUAGAAGAGAGUGAAAUUAGAACUCGAAGGAGAAGUAAAUGAAAAUUGACUCAUUGCUUUUCUUGUAUCUACACUAGGUUACGUAAAAGUGGCAUAUAUUUUAUGGAAGACAAUGGCGAUUUUCAUGUGGUGAAGGAGAAAGCGCAAGAACGUGUAGGGUCAAUGCUAUCCGAUAAUUAGAAGGGAUAGAGACUGUAUCGGUUUCUAUAUAGUAGAUGAAAUAAAUAAGCCGACAAACUUCAAAGCUUAAGAGAAAAUUGGUGAGGAAUAGUUCAAACUUUUCGAUAGUUCAAUGGAUUCUGAGAAACAAGGCUUAUUUACAAAAACUCAAGAUGCGCUCUCACGGUAAAGAUUACCCGUCACACAUGCAUUAAUCUGUAUCGAUCCAAGAGUAUAUCCUGUUACACUGUUACAGAAACAACCCAAGAUUAGAUGGGGCGAUAGUAAUUUUCUUCAUCCUAUGACACUUCCUUUUCAAAACCUCAAAAAAAAUUACAAUAGGCCAAACUAGUCUAAAAUGGGAUGUCUUCUUACAAAUGGAAUUUCUUAGACAUACUAAAGUCACCGUAAAACCCUUUUACGAGGAAUUAACUUAAAUAGCCCCCCACCUAACUGCUUAAACUAAAAAUAGCCGGUGGGUGUAUAAUCAGUGUAUAAUCUAUGUGUACCGGCCAUGAAAAGUAAAACAAUGAAUCUGACUACUUGUGUAAAGAACUUGUUUGCCUUUAUGCUUGGUAAACAAUGUACGUAAGCAAACUAGCUUCUUAUUCUUGUAUCUUCUAGACUACUAUGCUAAAAGAACUCAAAGGGACUAAAGGAAAGAAAUCUGAUCAUCUAAGACGCGUGGAUUCUUCACUUUCAAUGCCGCACCUGUGUCGGAUUCUCCAAAAAUAUAUUAAUUUGGGAGAAUCCGACAAGCACCCGUUGUCAUUUUUGAAGAGUCCGAGCAACAUAGCUGAUCAAUAUCUUAAGCAUUGAAAAACAAAGAGCACUGUUUUCUAAAUUGGAGAAAUGACACAUUAAAUUACUCUGUAAGUUCAAGUGCAAAAGAUUUUUCCAAGCGAAAACAAUAGGGGUAGAGCUAGAGUAUAGCUUACGGCUUUGUUCGAAUCCAGUAGUUUUGAUUCAAAUCCUAUAUUUUUCUUAAGAAACUUAUUGAAUAUCUACAUAUUAUUAACUUAAAACGCAGCUCCCAAACAACAUAAGCUUCAAAUCUUGGCUCUGCCUCUAUAAAAAGAUGGAAAGGACUAAAAGAAAGAAAUCAAAUCAAUGUCUUACACCUUUGAAAACAAUGAUCAUUGUUUCCUAAGUUAUAGAACUGAAAAAUCAAAUUACUUUAGAUAACAUUGUAUAUUGAAAAUCAAUGAACAUGCAGCUACCUAAAAACUACAGUUUGCAAGGGAAAAUAAAACAAAUAAUAUUCUUACAAACUAUUUCUUUUCAAUUAUAAAUUAUUAUUUUCUUAAGUUCAUUAAAAAAAAAAAAAAGGAAGCUACAAUCCUAGUCUGCAAGAACAAAUUCAUCUAAAGUUAAAGUCAUCUCCCUUCUUGGUUUCAAUUUUCUUUAACAAAAAAGAGUGACUUUCUGAGCUACUCCCUCAGUCCCAAUUUACGUGACACAGUUGAAAUCUCAAAAUUCAAACUUUGAAACUUUGAUCUUGAAUUUGACAUAGAAGCUUUUAAAUUUUUUGAAACAAAAUUUAUAUAUUCAAAACUAACUAAAAUAUUAUAAAUUAUAAUAAUUAACAACUUAAAAUAUUUAAAACGAAAAUUGGGUAAAGAAAAAUUUAGUUGAUCCUCGAAAUUUCAACUUUUAUCACAUAAAUUAGUACGGAGGGAGUAGUAGUUGAGUAAUAAUAUGAAAAAUCAACUUACUAACUAUUAGUUGAGUGAUGAUAUGAAAAAUUAAUUGUAUCACAUAAAUUAAGACAGAGGGAGCAGUAACUAUUAGUUGAGUGAAUCAACUUUGAAGUAAAAUGGUAAACUUACUUUUGAAGGGAAAAUCCAAGUUAUAUCCCCGAAAAUAUGAGAAUUUUCUUGUUUCUUGAAUGCCACCUGAGAUGAGAUUGGUGAAUAUGAAUGCAUAGACAAAAUAAUUAGUUGUGUUAGUAAAUGAAAGUGUUUACUGUUUUUUGCAGCAAAGGGGAUGAGAUUGUUGAUGACUUGGAGAUUGCAUUUGGCUCACUCUUUUAACUGUAUGGUUCUGCUAGUUUCAACUUACGUGUAUUCACCUUCGGCCACUUGUCAUUUAUUCUCUUUUUUAAAAAAAAAUAAAAAUUAAGGAUUUCAAUUCUUUUAAAUACAAAUAUUUGACUUGUUAGUUUAUAAUGUUGUAAAAAACCAUCAUUAAAUUUUACGAAAAAAAGGGACUCAUACUCGACUCGACGAGAUAGUAGAAAGCUUAUAUUAAAGAAUAACUAGUUAUUAUUAUUAUUGUUGAUUAAUAUUUAUAAAUUAUAUGUAGUUGAAAGUUUGUAAUCGCAAACGACUAUGGGUAAAAGGAACAUGAAGAUUUGCGAUUUAUUAUGGUAGUGUCUUAGGAUAGUAUGAUGUUCUAUUUAUGAGUUAUGAUUUGCUCAUUUGACAUCAUCGUAUAAAAAUAGGAUAAAAUUUAAUAGUUUUCAUAAUUUAUGAUAUUUUUAUAUUUAUGAGAGAAAAUACAAUUUAAAAAAUUCAAUUGUUUGUCCAAACUAAAUUUUAUAUUCAUAUCAAAUGAAUUUUUAUUAGGAUUACAUAUCACAUGUUCAAACGAAUUAACAUAAAAGACAAAUUAACUCAAAUAGUCAUUCUCAAUCAAUGAGUGAUUCACUUUUAUUUUAUAUGACACUUUUUUAUUUUAAUUAGUUUAAAAAAGAAAAUCACAUUACUAUAUUUAAAAAUAAUUUAUUUAUAAAAUUUUCAUUUUACCCUUGAUGAAAUGAUUAUAACUAUAGAAAUAUCUAAUGAGUGUUUUAUACUACAAAUUUAAAUUUUUCUUAUUUUAAAUAUCGUGUCAAGUUAAAGAAUAUGAUAUAAAAUCGAACGGGGGAGAGAGGGUAUUUAUUUUAUGAAGCAUCUAAGCUCAAUUCACUCGUGUUGAUCAAUUACAAGGGUUACCGCCACUCCUUCAGGAUAUCGUAGUCACUACAUAGGUAAAUCAUAAUUUAAUAAUGUAAUGAUGUAUGUAUAUUAAUUCGAAAAAGUAAACUAUAAAUCUGACCGACUUAAUAUGUAAAGAUCCCAACUCUCUUCUAGCCCAAUCUUUUUAGACUUCAACAAGCCCAACUCACUUUGACUGUUUGGGUGGACAACACAACCCACUAAAACUAGUCCAAAUUAAAAGCCCAUUUCAAACAUACCCGUCUACUUCCCUUGUACCAUCCAAACACACCCUCUCCCUAUUGGCUGAAAUACGAUCUCCUUCUCUGGUGAAAUUGAUUUGUAAGUUCGGUCACAUUUUUUUUUAUUUAGUGAAAAUACAAAAUUAAAUUUCAUUUUUAUAUGAGUAUUUCAUUUUCUAUAUUUAUUAUUUUUAUGAGUUUAUUUGUUAAUUUAUUUGAUUUUAUAUGUGUUAAUGACUCCAAAGUUAUGAUCUUUUUACCAAUCUGAAAAGUAAUACGAAUCAACUUUCUGAUACUUUUUUCUCCAAAAUACAAUAAUUAUUACAAAUUUCAGUUUUUUUAAUUUUUUUUGGUUCUUAUUAAGCUAUACUAAUUAAAAAAAAAAAAGCCACCUUGAUUCUUCAUUUCUCACUAUGAAAAUUAAACUUUUUUAUUUUGUUCCCAUUGAUGGUGUUUGGAUAUGACCUUAGAAAAAAGGAUGUGGAGGGUCACAGAUUAAGGUACAAGAGUAGUAGGUAGCUUGUAGUUUCUUGUGCUUCGAUUAAUGUUACUAUUUGUUGAUUCUUUGUAUCUCGAUUAUCGUAUUUUUUUCUUAUUGUAGUUUCUGUUAUGUUACUAUUUGUGAUAUCUGUUGUUUCUUGUACUUCAUUUUUUCGAUUGUUUUUACCUUGGGUCACGUGACUAGGAGAUCACGGGUUCAAGUCUUGAAAACCAACAACCUCUGAUAGAAAUGCAAGGUAAGGUUGCGUACAAUACACCCUUGUUGUGAGCCCUUCCUUAGACCUGCGUAUAGCGAGAGCUUUAGUUUACCGGGUUGCCCUUUUAGAAGGAGAGCCUUGGAAUAACGGGUAAAGUUGUUGCCAUAUGAUCAGGUGGUCAUGGGUUCAAGCCUUGGAAAUAGUGCAGAAAUGUAAGGUGAGGCUAUGUACAAUAGAUCCUUGUGAUCGGACCCUUCCUCGGAUCCUGUGCAUAGCGGGAGCUUAGUGCACCGGUUUGCCUUUUCCUUGAGCCGAGGGUCUAUCGGAAAUAGCCUCUCUACUUUUGAGGUAGGGGUAAGGUAGCGGACUCUCUACCCAUCCCAUAUCCCUCUUUGUGGAACUAAUGGUGUUUGGACAAGCUCGCUUGCAUCUCGACUAAUUUAUGGGUAGCAUGUCUAGCUCACGAUUAUAGGUUUAGUCUAGUAUUGCAGCUCAGAUUUGAACUUGGGAUUUUUAGGAUUAUACUCACAUGCCGCAGCCACUAGGCCAUCCCCUUGGGCAGGGGCAGACUUAUAGGGAAAUUUAUGGUACCCGUGAAACCAUGGUCUCUCCACCAAAUUAGAUAUUUUAUGUACAUAUUUUCUAGAAUUGAUCUGAUGUUAUCAGUUGGCAUCCAGGCUUCAAAAAGACUAAAUGGUGCACUUGAUUGAAUGCUAAGUUGCUUACCUAAAUAAAGGAGCAGCGAUCAAUUCCCGCUUGAAUCUAACUCGAUUUUCGAGUCACUUACAAAAUCGUUCUAAUGAUCGGUGCCAUAGAUUUCAAUUUCUGGUAUAACUUUUUAAUAAGCUGCCUUAUCUAAAUUAGUCUCCAAUACAGGCCUUUUGUUGAUAUUAAUUUGUUGGAGAACGCAAUAGUUAAUAUCUAUUAACUUGUUUUUUUCAUAAUUAUUAUGUAAUGGAGCGUUAAAGGAAAAGUUAUUGUCAUAAUGAAAAUGUUCCCGAAUAUGCUGGUAACCUGGGACUAUUUCCAAUGGACCUGUCAAUACUCUUCUGAACUGUGUACAUAAUUCUCUUUGGUAAAUAAAAUUACUUACUUACCAAAAAAAGAAAAUGUGCGCGAAUGAAGAGAAAUGGUUACGAAGUAUCCACAUUGUGGAUACCGACUAGUUUGAAGGUGUUUAUGGUGAUUGAUUGAAUAUUUACGAGAGUGCGAGACUAAUAUCUAAAACUCUGUACUGCCCCAAAAUCCCCGUGAUGAUGUUUGACCAGGAGUUGUGAGGGUUAAGGGGUUACUAUGAUAUCUAAGGUUACUUAGAGUAAGAGAUUGUCUGAGCUGAUAUUGGAGACGAACUGACAUUCUGAGAAUGAACUUGUGUAUAAUGCACAUAUAGUAUCUAAAUUUUGUUAUUUCCUUUAAUGUGAUGUCUUUGUUUCUGAAUGUUGCCCACAUAAAUUUGCAGGAAAUGUCAUUCUUAAAGGAUAUUCUCGUUGAUUCUGAGGCUCAUUCUUUGGUGCUAAUUUUACAGAGCUCAUCAACAUUUUCAGGUUUGGAGUUGAAAUUUGAAACAUAGUGUGUCAUGAUUUCAAGCCUUUGAUGACUCAGACUGAGAUCUCAUUUUCGUUGUUUUAACAAGAGAGUUGUUUGACUUAAUUCGCAUGAAAUGGCAGAGCUUUUUGGAUAUACAGCAUGCAGACAGUUAUUGCAAAUGUUAGUUUCAAUAAUAUUCUUCCAUGUUUCCGAGUACAUUCUGGCACUUGCCAUUCAUGGGAAGUCCAACGUAUCUCUUAAGUCACUUUUGAUAAGCAAACAUUAUCUUCUGGCGAUGAUUUGCUCCUUGAUAGAGUACCUUAUUGAAAUCUAUUUCUUUCCUGGUUUAAAGGAAUAUUGGUGGAUAAGUAAUUUGGGCCUUGCAUUGGUUGUUCUCGGAGAAAUCAUGAGGAAGUUAGCAAUUGUGACAGCAGGCCGAGCCUUCACUCACCUUAUAAAGGUUUAUCACGAGGAAGAUCAUCAGUUGGUUACGAAUGGGAUCUAUAGAUUUGUCCGGCAUCCUGGUUAUUGUGGUUUCUUUAUCUGGUCCAUUGGUACUCAAAUAAUGCUCUGUAAUCCAUUAUCAACCGUUGGAUUUGCAGUUGUUGUGUGGACAUUCUUCUCUAGAAGAAUACCUUACGAGGAAUUUUUCCUCAAGCAGUUCUUCGGUUCUGACUACGAGGAGUAUAUGAGAAAAGUUCCUUCUGGUAUUCCACUUGUGAGGUGAUUAUUCAACAAAUCCUUUUCAGGGAUCCAUAUACAUGCCCGGCAGCCAGCGUCCUUGUUCAUUGUGGUUUCCUCAUCUGAUCAUCGGUACUGGAAUAAUGUCGUUUAGGAAUUCUAUUUUCUUACACACUUCUUCAGUUCUCAUGACGUGAAGUUUGGCAGAGGAAGUUCCUCUUAAAUUCACCUUUGUGGAGUGUUUUUACUUAUUUGUAUCAUCAUGUUUUUGUACUCAUGUUGUUGUCAGGUAGCUAGCUGUUCCUGACCUUGUCCAAAAUCAGGUUCUUUGCUAGUUCUUACGGGGAGCUGUAAACUCGUAAUGCUGCAUCUUUUCCGAGACCAGGGGACCUUUUAUCACGAUUUCUGCUCGUAAGUUAACUGUAUCAUGUAGUUGUGGCUGAUGGUGCCAGUGUUGUAUGAACAAAGGGCUUGUAACAUUUUCUGUAAUUUAGUCAAAUUCACAUUAUCUCAACUAUGGUUGAUUUCUUUAUGUUGCCUUUUGUUCAAGCACAGGUUUGGGCUAUUUUGUAGAACUGUACUUAGCUUAGAAAAGGUGAUGAAACUUCUAAGCAUUAAAAAUGCAGAACAUUUAUGUACAGUCAGAUUUUUCGAUAACAGUCAUCAAUCUUUGCAACGACAUUUCACUAUAAUAGCCAAGUUUUCUUUGGACUCUAUUUUCUUAUCGUGUUAUGUUGAAUGUUUGGUAUAACAAGAUCUUGCAUCCUUUGUAAUAAUAUUUCACCAUAAUAGCCAAAUUUUCUUUAGACUCGAUUUUUCAUAUUAUGUUAUAUUAUUCAAACAACUCAUCACUUAUUCCCUCUUCUCCCUCCCAGACUCAAUCCCCUUCGCGAAAAUCCUAGAUUCUUGCCCUGGUGGAUGAGUUGUGAGUGGUCGUUCUCAUUGUUAUGCAUUCCCGGAUAUACCAGAGGCAGAGGCUUCCAAUACAGUUUUCACGACCAAGUCCCAACAUGUCAUAAAACACUCAAACAUCCUUAAACCCCAUGUCAAAUGUCAAAAGACACCUCUUUAUUCAAACUACUCAUUCCCUUUUCUUCCUCCCAAACUUAACCCCCUUCAUGAAAAUCCUAGAUUCUUGCAUAGGUAGAGGUGGUGGUAGAGGAGUUACAAGUGAUCACUCUUUUAUUGUUAUGCAUUCCCGAAUAGACUAAAGGCAGAGACUUCCGAUGCAGUUAUCACAACCAAGUCCCAACAUGUCAUAUAUAAACACUCAAACAUCAUUAAACCUCAUGUCAAAUGAUUUGUUUAUUCAAACAACUCAUAACUUAUUCCCUUUUCUCCCUCCCAAACUCAACUCCGUUCGCGAAAAUCCUAGAUUCUUGUAGAGGUGGUUUUCGGGUAGACCAGAGGCAGAGGUUUUGGAUGCACGACCAAGUCCCAACAUGUCAUAAACACUCAAACAUCCUUAAAUCCCAUGUCAAAUGACAAAAGACACUUCUUUACUUAAACAACUCAUAACUUAUUCCCUUUUCUCCCUCCCAAACUCAACCCCCUUCGCAAAAAUCCUGGAUUCUUGCAUUGGUAGAGGUGCACCACGAACCGGGAAAGGUAGCGGUAGAGUUACUCAUUGUUAUGCAUUUCCGAGUAGACCAGAGGCAGAGGCUUCUGAUGCAGUUAUCACAACUAAGUCGCAACGGGUCAUACACACUGUCCAUUGUCGAAUUAUCAAAACCCAUUUUAGCUCAGAGGUUUUCAUAAACAACAAGUUGAUAGACGGUUAUGGGAAAUGUGGGAUGUUAGAGUAUGCGAAGAAGGUGUUUAAUAAAAUGCCUGAGAGAAACACUUUCACUUGGAAUUCAAUGAUAAAUGCAUAUACAGUAUCAAGAUUGAUUUUUGAGGCCGAGGAGCUGUUUUGGUUAAUGCCUGAUCCGGAUCAGUGUUCGUGGAAUUUGAUGGUUUCAAGUUUUGCUCAGUGUGAAUUGUUUGAUUCAUCGAUGGAGUAUUUCAUGAGAAUGCAUAAAGAAGAUUUUGUUUUGAAUGAGUAUGCUUAUGGUAGUGGUUUAAGUGCUUGUGCAGGGUUGAGGGAUUUGAGAAUGGGAAUUCAACUUCAUGGUUCAGUUGCUAAAUCGAGAUAUUCGAGUAGUGUUUACAUGGGUUCUGCGCUUGUUGACAUGUACUCGAAAACGGGUAAUGUGGAUUGUGCAAGAAAGGUGUUUAAUGAGAUGUGUGAGCGUAAUGUGGUGUCAUGGAAUAGUUUGAUUUCUUGUUAUGAGCAAAAUGGGCCGGUGAAGGAGGCGCUUGAGGUAUUUGUUAGGAUGAUGGAGUUAGGGUUUAAACCAGAUGAGAAGACGUUGGCUAGUGUAGUAAGUGCUUGUGCAAGUUUGUGUGCGAUAAGAGAAGGCAAGGAAAUUCAUACACGAAUUGUGAAGUCGGAUAAGCUUAGGGAUGAUCUUAUUAUAUGCAAUGCGUUGGUUGACAUGUAUGCUAAGUUUGGGAAAAUUGCGGAAGCUAGAUGGAUUUUUGAUAAGAUGCCAAUCAGAAGUGUGGUGUCACACACGUGUUUGGUAAGUGGUUAUGCGAGACUUGCAAGUGUGAAGACUGCGAGAGCCAUGUUUAUGGGGAUGAUUGAAAGGAAUGUUGUGUCUUGGAAUGCUCUUAUUGCUGGAUAUACACAGAAUGGGGACAAUGAAGAGGCAUUAAAUCUCUUUCUUAUGCUAAAGAGAGAAUAUGUUUGGCCAACUCAUUAUACGUUUGGGAAUCUUCUCAACGCAUGUGCGAAUUUAGCUGAUCUGAAGCUUGGUAGGCAGGCUCAUGCACAUAUUUUGAAGCAUGGAUUUCGUUUCCAGAAUGGACCCGAGCCUGAUGUUUUUGUGGGAAAUGGUCUAAUAGACAUGUAUAUGAAAUGUGGAUCAGUUGAAGAUGGUAGCUGUGUAUUCACAAAAAUGGUGGAUAGAGACUGGGUUUCAUGGAAUGCCAUAAUAGUUGGAUAUGCACAAAAUGGACAUGCUAUGGAAGCGCUUGAAACUUUCAAGGGUAUGUUAGUAUCCGGAGAGAAGCCAGAUCACGUGACUAUGAUUGGAGUUCUCUGUGCAUGUAGUCAUGUAGGAUUGGUUGAGGAGGGACGUAAAUAUUUCUAUUCCAUGGGCACGGAGUAUGGCUUGACACCGUUGAAGGACCACUAUACAUGCAUGGUUGAUUUACUUGGUAAGGCUGGUCGCUUACCAGAGGCAAAGGAUUUGAUUGAGUCCAUGCCGAUGCCUCCUGAUAGUGUUGUAUGGGGGUCUUUGCUUGCGGCAUGUAAAAUUCACAGGGAAAUUGAGUUGGGAAAGUACGUGGCCGAGAAGCUUUUGGAGAUUGAUCCUACAAAUUCUGGCCCUUAUGUUCUUCUAUCAAACAUGUAUGCUGAACAAGGAAGAUGGCAAGAUGUCAAAAUGGUCCGAAAACUUAUGAGGCAGCGAGGCGUUGUUAAACAGCCUGGCUGCAGUUGGAUUGAAAUACAAAGCGAGGUUCAUGUUUUCAUGGUGAAAGAUAGGAGACACGCGCAGAAAAAAGAGAUUUAUCUGAUAUUGAAUACACUAACUAAAUUUAUGAAGCUCUCUGGCUAUGUACCGAAUGCUAGUCAUUAGGAUGCUGAUGAGGAGCAAGUCAUGUUGGGUUUUUCCUCAUCUGAAGAGUUUGAAGAACCUGUAAUAGCUGCCAUUGCAUGCUAAGUUGCGGGGACCCUUCACUUUCGAUGUUGCACCCAUGUUGGAUUAUCCUAAAAUACACUGCUUUUAGAGAAUCCGACGCAUGCCCGUUGACAUUUCUGAAGAGUCCGAACGACAUAGAUUGCAUGAUGUUCAAGGUGACAUGGAAAUUGCUAAUUCCCUGUACUUGUCUAGAAAGAGUUGCACAACAUCUUUAGCCAUAAUACAUUGAUGGGCACUUUAACUUGGCCUCCGAUGGUAGUUGAACACCCCAACUUUUAUUGUGACCAUCUAGACAUUUCAACUUGAUAUAGGUGCAUCUCGUGAAUACCUUAGCAUAAAAAAUGCACAUCUAGAGUUCUAGACAUAUUUAAGGGGUGCAUUCUCAAAGUUGGGGUGUUUACGCGGCCACUUAAACCAAGUUAAGAUAUUUAGAUGUACAUUUUCAAAACAGGGUUGGGGUGUCUAGUUGUCCAUUGAAAUCAAGUUAAGAUGUCUAUCUAUGUAUUAUGGGUAUUUUUUUUAAUGUAUCCUCCCCAUAUGCCAAGGGAAACAGAGAUCAGAGCACAUUAGCAAAUGUAAUUUAGAAAAUGUUAUCAGAAUGUAUCUCACUUAAACAAAUUUUACGUAUUCAUCUUUAGUGGAUCAUUUUUUUUUUCUCUAUGACAAUUUAACUGUCUGCUUUAGUGGACCCUUAAUCUGGGAUGCUUUGUGCGUUAGACUGCCUUUUAUACCAGUGUAUCAUGAUUUCUUGUUGCUUAGCUUUCUUCUCUGGAGCUAACCUGAUUCGGCUAGACAGCAAAAGAUUCUUUAUUUAAGCUCGUAUACAAAAAUAACAAGAAAAUGCGAAAGAUCCUCUAUAUUUUCACCGAUGUAUAAAUCUCAAAUAUAAUUAACCAACUCAUGAAAAGUAAGAAAACAUAAGAAUUGACAGAGUAGAUUUCACUUUUCCCCGUUUGGCCAUGAAGUAAUAAUUUUCUGGAGUUGGAGUUGAAGUUGGAGUUCUUGUUGAGUUUGGCCAUAAAUAUAAAUUGAGGUUGUUUUUGAAAUUUUGUGAGAGAAAUAGGAGUGAGAAAAGUGAAACUUUUUCAAAAAUAAUUUUCACUAAACUGAAAUAAUUUUUAUGGCCAAACACCACUAAUUUUUAUUUUUUUUACUAAAGUGAAAUAAUUUUAUGAAAAAAGUGAAAAAAAAUUAUGGCCAAAUGCCUACUAAGGGGUCGUUUGGUAGAGUGUAUUGAAAUGUUAAUACAUGUAUUAGUUUAAUGUGUAUUAAUAGUACCUUGUUUGAUAUACCUUUUUACGCGCAUUAGUUAUACACUCUAUUGUGUAUUAAGGUGUGUAUUACUAAUACCUCAAAAUUCAUGACAUUAGUAAUGCAAUGGAUCUAAUGCAUGCAUUAACAUGCUUAAAGACUCUAUUACCCCUCAAAAAAAAUUUGCAUUCUUUCCAACAUAUAUAUUGAGGGUAUUAUGUAAAAAAAAAAUAAAAAAUUUAGAAAUUAUGUAAUUCAUGUUUUUUUUAAUACAUCGAACCAAACACUGCAUAAGCAAAAUAUAAGCAUAACUAAUGCAAGUAUAAUUAACUCAAACAUUACUAAUACAAGCAUUACUAAUACACCAUAUUUUACAUUAUUUUUAUACACUUAACCAAACGAUGCCUAAAUGUACUAAUAAGGUGACUAAUCACAAAAUUUUACCUUACUCUAUAUCAAAAGUCAACUUCACUUUUUAUAGUUUUAAUGCUAUUUUGAUUUUAUAAAUGGAUUGUACUAUACAUUCCAAGUGCAGAAGUACUUGCAGACAAAUGUUGCACUUCCUUACCAAUGCGUAUAAUUAAAGAGGAUUACUUUUUUUAAGAUUACGUAAUAGGAAUUUUAGAACAUGUGCAACAAUUCUUUUUUGAAAUUUAAAUUGAAAGUGCCUAAUAAAAAUAUUUUAUCAUUUGUUCAAAUGUUAAUGAGAACAAGUUAAGUUUCAAGUCUAUUAAGCUUAAAAUUUAGAGGAAAUGAGAUUUCUUGACCAUUUAAAAAUUGAAUUAAAUUUUUUUAUUUUAAAAUUUCUUAUGUAUAAAAAUGAACUACAUCUUACUUCUCGACCAUAAUUCCACAAUCCCAUCAACUUCUUGAAAUUAAGCGCAUCAAAAUCUUUUGUGGGUAAAAUUAAAAAUUAUAAGUGAUUUACAUAAUCAAUUCAAAUUUACUAGGAUUUUGAAUGAAAUAAUUCCUCUAUCUCAUUUUAAUUGAUCAUCUUAUUAUAAAUAUAUGUCCUAAAUUAGUUGUACACUUACUAAAACAAAAUAAAAUUAAUUAAAAAUAAUUAUUUUGCUUUGAAAGCCUAAACAAAUUUAUAAGUCCCAAAUAUUCAUAUGUCCUAGCGAAUUCAUUAAUGAAAGCAUGUUUUUCAUAAAUGAUCUUUUUUAAAAAAAAAUAAAAAUUGGGCUGAAUGCCCUUUAUUAGGAAAACACAAAGGAAAAAUUACAGAAACUAGCAUCCUUAAAACUAUAAUUACAAUAAAUAACAACAUUUUUUUAAAAUUACAACUUAUAGCAAAAGAAUAAUAUUUUACCCACUUCAUAGUAAUAGAAGAAUAUAUAUUUUUCAGUUGUGCAUAUGUAUUUAUGAGUAAUACAUAUAUAUUUGUAUAUGUAUUUAUAGCAACAUUUUACUUAAAUACAAAUACAAUUUGUUAUUUUUCAUAAUUAUGAAACUGUUGCAAUGAAAGUUAUAAUUAAGACUACAGAGUUGCUAUUUCUGAAAUUUUCCCCAACACAAAUGUAUUCAAGACCAUGCCCAAAAGUGGCCUGGCCCAAAUACAACAAAAUAUACUCAAUCAAAGCACUCAAAUUAGGAAAGUGAAAUGCAUUCACUUCUUAAUUUUGCUGAAUUGCUUCUGUUGUAGAAGUCAUCUUUCAUGGCUGCCAAUCUUUUCUUUUUCCAUUUCAAUUAAUAUUUGUCCGUUCAAGUUGUUCAACCGUUGAAAUCUGUGGAUUUUGUGUCAUAAAUGAUCUUGAUAAAUGAUAAAUGAUCUUGAUAUCAUCAAUAUGUAUAAAAAGUAAAUUAUUAACUACUCCCUCUAUCUCAAAUUACCCGUCCUAAAUUUCUUAAUUUGAUUUUCUGUUUUACUUAUCUUUUUCCAUUAAUCAAGAAGAAACAAUUUUUUUUUCAUGUUUUAUUCUUUGUAUUAAUUAUUUUUUCUUUAAAUUAAAAUAUAAACGUCAUUUAAUAUAGGUAUUAUGAUAAACUAACCAUGUUAUUAAUUAUUUUUCUUAAUUAAUAUCAUCUUAAUUUGAGACGAUAAUUUGAAACGAAGGAAGCAUUUUAUUUAUAAUCUUUUAAGUACCCUAAAAUGAAAAUUAAAUAUGAAUUUAAACCCAUAACUUGAGGAAAAACUUAAUCACACCCAACAUAUACAUCAAGCCAAAACAUACAUAUUAUGUUAGAAUGUAAAAUUUAUUUUACUUAAUCAUGAUAAAUUCACAUAUAUUUAAAUGUAUUAAACUAUUCAAUUAUAAUAAAUUAUAUUAACUUAAUAUAAACACCAAAAUUAAAUAAGCUUUUACCUAACUUGAAAAAUAACACCAAAAAAGGAAAUUAUAACUAGGGACCCAAGUACGCCCACGCGAUCGCCCUCCAAUACUAUCUCCAUUUCUUUUUAUUUUAUUCAUUUAGAUUAGACACCUCUCUUAGUAAUUUUUUUAAUAUCUCUUAAUUAAAUUUUAUAUCUCUUUUUUAAAAAAUUAAUAAUCAUUAUAUUUGUUAAAUAAAAAUUGAAUAAAACAAACUGUUCAAAUUAUUUUAAAAGAUAAAGAGUAAGUAUUUAUUUAGAAAUAAUUCAAACAUGACAAAUAAAAAAAAAGAGAGUAAACUGCCACUAUACAACAACAGGCCGAACCCAUCUCAUAUGUUUUAUUUUUUCUUGUGAUGAAAAUUAAGAAAUGUUGGGUGGGUGUAGGUGUAGUAGUAUAUCUCAUCACUCAAGUUUUCACCAAUUCUCCUCCAUUUUCUUCACUGUUUCAUCACCAACAUCUAAUUCUUCCUUCAACAAUUUCAAAAUCAAAUUGAGGAAAAAGAAUAGUAGCAGUGAUACCAGUUCUUAUUUGAGCAAUAAAGUUAGUAAUUUUGGGGCCAAUUGUGUUCGACCCAAAUCUUCAGAUAGUCAAAGCUCUUUGCUUUCUGAAACUUUGAGGUAAUUUAUCAUGAUUUGAGCAAUAAAUGUUGUUACUUUUUUUUUUUUCUGUAAUUUUGAGGUAUUUAUCAUAAAUUUAGUGAUUCUUGAGGCUAAUUUAGGUGUUUAUCAUACAUGUUCUUGUUUGGGUGGUAAAAAUUUAGAUAUUUUUUUGGGUAAUUGUGUGGUACCUAUGGUAGAUUCUUGUUUGAGCAAUGAAGUUAGUUAUUUUGGGGGUCAUUUGUGUUUGACCCAAAUCUUUAAAUAAGCUCAGUUAUCUUUGUGCAAUAAAUGUAGUGAUUUUGGGAGUAAUUUUGAGGUACAUCAUAUAUAUUCUUUUUGAGCAGUAAAUUUAAUUAUUUUUUUUUAAGCUAAUUUUGAUAUAUUUAUCAUAAAUGUUCUUGUUUGGGCAGUAAAAUUUUAGUUAUUAUUGGAUUUUAAACCAAACUUUUACAAUCUUUGAUAUCUAAAAUUCUGUACUUUUUGAACGUUUGAAUUAAUUUAUCAUACUUUUGAGCAGUAAAGGCAGGAGUGACUCAAAGGUAAUACUAUUACCGUCAAACCUCUCUAUACUGUCAACGUUUGUCUGAAAGUUUCAUGAUUGCUAUAGUGAGAUGUUGUUAUAUAUGCAUACUGGCAUUUGACAUUUAAAUCUCAUUUAGCUGUUACAACAAAAGUAUGCAAAACUAGAAAUAAUAUGAACGUAAAAAAGGGCAAAUAUCAGUAACCUUUACUCGUGAAGUUAUGACCUAACUAAUGAGCACCAUUUAAACACAAUCUAUUUCCUUCUAAUUAGAUAUUAGUACUUAAAAUUUACUAUGUGCAUGACAUUAAUGAUGAGUACCAUAAAUAUUGUGGUACUUUAUUUUAUACAUUAUAUAUUAAUUAUCAAAUAUUAUUACAUAAUAUUUGAGUAUGAUUAUUACUGAGGGGUAAUUUAUGUAUAUUGUAUUGUUAUAGUGUCUGUCAUUGUUGUUAUAGUUAUAAUGUUGUUAUAGAGAGAUAAAAUAUAACAUGGAGAAUUGGUUCUUGAAAAACUUCGGCCGUUGUAAUGACAUGUCGGUACAACGAGGGAUUGUUAUAGAGAAGUCAGACUGUAAAACAUUUGUUUUAGACUCCAAAAAAAUUUAAUAGUGAAUUUUAUUGUUUUAAUGUCAUUCAAAACAAUAUUGAAGAUUGUAAAUUAUAAAAGAUACAAAAUUUAAAUAAAAGAAGAAGAAAUAAGAAUUUUUUACUUUUAUCGAAAGUCAUAAUACAUAAACAUGACUUUUAACUUGACACCAAAUUGUAACUAUGCCUUUUAACUUUGCCAGUGCACAAGUAGGCCCUUUAAAUAUAUAAAAGCCGAACAAAAAAACACUUUAAUUUUGCAACUUAUAUGUGUGAAACUCAAUCGCUCCUACGUGGAUUAGUAAUCGACUCAGAUGCUGCCACCUAAUAAAAAAGUCACAUUACAAUUAUGACCUUUAACUUUGCCAGUGCACAAGUAGGCCCUUUAACUAUACAAAAGGUAAACCAAAAACACUUCAAUUCUAACUCUGACGCGCGUGGUUUUGAGUGUAUACACGCAUUUUGUCAGGUAAGAUUGGAGUGUUUUUUGUUCAGCUUUUGUAUAGUUAAUGGCCCUACUUGUGCACUUGUAAAGUUAAAGGUCAUAGUUAUAAUUUGGUGUCAAGUUAAAGGUCCUUUUUAUGUAUUAUGUCGUAUCAAAAAUAUUCUAGAACUUUGAAUUUAAUAACUCAAAUUGUCAUAUUAAUAAAAUAAAUUUUGUACAAUAACGUCAAGGUAAUACAUUACAAAUAAAUGACUAAGUUCUUAUUAAUGUUUUUAAGAAUAAUAUACUAAAAAGUAUGUAAGAAAAAAAAACUUUAAAUUAUUAUUAUAUUUGUGUGUUCGUGCAUAUAUUUAAGACCUUUGACUAGAUCACUGAUUUUUUUGUGAUAUGAGUAAAUGUAGUGAUUUUUGGUAACUGAGCUAUAUGUCAUAUACGAUCUUGCUUGAGCGGUAAAAUUUUAGUUAUUUCGAAAUUUUUCAAUUGAUUGUAUACAUCGUCAAUCUUAUAUAUUUUAUCAUGAAGUUCAUUGUUGAGCAGUAAGCUUAAGUUAUUUUUGACACAAUAUCAUGAAUUAUGAUACAAUGUUGAGAAGAAAGGAUUAAAUAGGAAGAAAGAAAAUUGUUAAAGUAGAAUUUAAAAGUUAGGUAUUACUUUUCAUUGCACCGUUCAUUGUUCACACAAUUAGUUACUACUGUUCCAAGUUGUAGUUAGGUAGUUAUUCUGUUACUUGUUAGCUUAGCUGUCAAUUGCAGUGAAUGAGAUAUAUAAAUAACUGUAAGCUAAUAAUAGCACAAUCUCUGUUCUUCUCUCUUCUUCUUCACUAUUUUCUUGGUUAAUUUCCUAAACUUGGUACCAUCUUCUUUGAAAAUUAUUCUCCUAGAUUAACACAUUUCGCUCAAAUUCCUUGUUCUUGCAUCAAAUUAUCUUCUUUGCACAAUAAAUUUAGUGAUUUUGCGUACUUUUGAGUUAGUUAUCGAAAUAUUCUUGUUUGAGCAAUGAACUUAGUGAUUUUAGUGUCAAUUGUUUUCAACUCAAAUCUUCAGACAUCCAUAGCUCGCUCUUUAUUUUUUGAAAGUUUGAGAUAAGUUUUCAUGAAUUUUCUUCUUUGAGCAGUAAAUUUACUGACUUUUGGAGUAAAUUUGAGGUAUUUAUCAUAGCGGUUCUUACUUGAGCAAUAGAUUUGGUUAUUCUGGGAUUUUUUCGAUUGUGUAACCCAAAUCUUCAGAAUAUUCAAUUCUUUUUUUCCUUUCUGAAAGAUUGUUGCAAUUCGACAUAUCUAUUCUUCUUUGAACAAUAAAUUGCGUAAUUUUGGCCCCAAUAAUGUGGACCAAUAGUAAAAUGGCAUCAUCUGGCGAAUGAGUUAGGGUAGAAGGGUGGGCUAAUCAUUCCAUGCAUUUCAAACCGUGCUUCACUAGCCAUCUGGGAUUUUUGGAUUUUAUGAAAAGAAAUAAGAGUGGAUAUGCUAACAACUCCCUAAACUAUCACUCUUUUUGUAAGUUCCGUAGGACCUAAAUCACCAUGAAUUCAUGUGAAACCCCCUCUGGAGGAAUAUGAACGGUAUGUGAACAUCACACUCCAAAAGUACCUGCAAAAAGUUCCAAGUGACAGUACACAUGGAACCCCUAAACUAUCACCGUUUUACGAGUUUCAUGCCUAAACUAUUGAGUGUUCACAGCACCCUUUGAACUUAUUGUGUCAUGUUAACUCAAUUUUAGAACUUUUUUCAUCUCCAUGCGCCUCUCAACAAGUUAUCCCAAAUAUUUUGCCACAUAUUCAACCAAGGAGUUUUAAUCUAAAGAGUAUUAUAGUUCAGCGGUAACAAGAACACUCAGUAGUUUUGGUAUACAACUUGUAAAAUGGUGAUAGUCUAGAGACUUUUUUAACAUGUUCACUCAAAAAAUAAUUGAGCGCUUUUGAGGUCUGUUUAUCAAUUGUAUUUAAUCCGAACCUUUAGAUAUCCAAACUCCCUGCUUUCUUUUAGUUUGAGGUAAAUUUGACCUCUAUUCACUUGUAUUCCUUAAAACUUUUUUGUCGGGAAGACAAAUGUAUAAAAAGAAGGUUUUUGAAACCUUGAUUUGUAAGCUCGUGAUCCUGAAAAUGGAAUGGGUGAAGGAAAGGUUGGCUGUAGACCUUUUUUAUUACUGAAAUAAGAUGAAAGUGGAAAGUUAGUUAACACUACAAGUUUGGAUCACAUUUUUGACGAAAACAUUAUGUAAAGUUUAUUGCUAUAUCAUAUAAAUAGGGGCCGUACGCUUUUGUGGUUACUUUAACGAGGCCUGGGCAUGCGGGGGAGUGUUAAGUAUCCCACAUCGGAAAAGGGAUGGGUAAUUGGACUCCUUAUAUGGACUUGGACAAUUCUCCCCUCAUGAGCUAGCUUUUGAAGUUGAGUUAGGCCCAAGAUCCAUUUUUUUUUUACAUUACUAAACUGUGGUGUGUUCAGUUUUUACUGUAACUGUAGAUCUAAAAUAAAUAGAUUAUGAUAUUUCUCUCUUAACUGUUUAAAGUUUUAGAUGAAAGGUUCACACAGUGCUGCACACAGUAGAAUAGUUCCACCUGCUUGGCCCAAUAGAAAGAUUCAGGUGCUGCACGCGAAUGAGUGUGUUGUAGACAACAACAACAACAACAACAACAAACCCAGUAUAUUGUAGACGUAAAACAAAUAAUAAGAGUGUCCUCCAUGUAAAAGUAUAAGUUUUACAUGAGAUAGUUACACUUUUAAAUAGUUUCAUCUGGACAUACUACUCGGAGUAGUUUUCAUAUAUGUUUAAUUGAAGCUUACAAAUGCCAGUUUUUCCAUUAAAUCUAAAUGAAAUCUUUUCAUUGUAUUGCAUUGACAUUGUUAUGUCAUUUUUGUAUUUAAGUAUGACUUUCCUUCGAAUCCCGGUACUUAAAUAUGUGUUCUUCACAAUUUUCAUGCAAAGCCAAUCUGGAACAGAUGAGGAGCCUCCAUCAGAAAGAUUGCCCAUUCUUGCAGGUUUGCUCGUACCCAUAUAUUACUUGCAAUUAAAUUAUGAAACUGUAUUACAUGUAUGCUGAAUUUAUCUUUAUACCAAUUUUCGUUAAUUCUGAAUCUUGAAGUUUCUUCAAUGAUUAAAUGCUACACAACUACCUUGUUCUACAAUUGUUGUCACUGUCAGCCAUUUGUAUUUCAUAAUUCUUGGUUACAUUGCUAUUGGCUCUUAUGCUUAUUCUUUCCUUCUGUAAUUUUUUCUAUUAUCUUUGUUUCUUGUACUUCCCUUACGUCUUGUUCGGGACUGCUUAAGAUUGUUUUUCUUUGAGCCGAGGGUCUAUCGGAAAUGACCUCUCUACCUCUGAGGUAGGUGGAAGGUCUACGUAUGCUCUGCCCUCCCUAGAUCCCACUUUGUGGGACUACAUUGUGUAUGUUGUUGUUGGUUUCUAAAUAAAAUAAAAUGUGGGAAAUAGGUAACUAGAUGUAGCCAUUUCUGUUAGUGAUAAUAAAUAUUAUGUGUUGCAAUAUGUGUAAUUCAGUCUCCUUAGUUAUACUGCAAGUUCAAAAAUAGCUUCUUAUUUUCACAGCUUAGUGUCUUUGUUCUAACAGAAAUUUGAUACAAGAUCAUAGAAAUUAAAAAAGAACACUUGAAAAGCUAUGAAACAUGCUCCAAUACCUGAGGCAUCACAAAGAAAAAUAUUGUUCAUUCUCUCAUCAGUAUGUUUUGCUAACACUUCAGGCCUGUUCUUUCCAUAUACCUUUUACUUAUGUUUAUAUAAGAAGAUCAGCAUGAAUCUAGCUGUGAACAGCUGAAUAUUCAAUCUACAAUUUUAUUCUAAUUUCUUACGACAUACAAUUACUUUUUCAGAUUAGUAAUUUUCAGUUCUGCUUAUUGCUUAUCAUCAAAGGAAAAAAGAGUUCCAAUUCCACUUGUUACAGUUGUGUUGUAAACGAGUGGAAACAGAGGAUUUGUUGGUAUUAUUAUGUCGAAAAACUCAAUUAUUUUCAUUUCAAUAGGUGGGAUAGUAGCUCUGGGGAAGUUUGAUGCACUCCAUAUUGGUCACCGUGAGCUUGCAAUUCAAGCAGCAAAGCGAGGAAUUCCGUUUCUUCUUUCAUUUGUUGGAAUGGCAGAAGUACUUGGAUGGGAACCAAGGUAUAACUUCUGUUCUCUUUUAUCUUUUACUCUACUGUCAUAGAAUGUUAAAUAAAGAAAUAUUAUCUCAGAAGAUCAAAAAGGAGAGGAGGGUGAACUUCGACUUGACUCUCACUGCCACACCCGAGCCUGUAAUAGUACCUAGGAUCAGUCAGAUUUACAACAACAACAACAUACCCAGUAUAUUCCCACCAAGUGUGGUCUGGGGAGGGUAAGUGCACGCAGUCCAUACCACUACCUCAAAUGUGAGAUAGAGAGGCUGUUUGCGAUAGACACCCGGAUCCAAAUAACACAAUCUAAGAUAAGGAACAGUAAAAGAACAAAAUACAAUAGAAAUUAGCAUAUUCAAUAAUACCAUAAACAAGUUAUUCAAGUAACACACCAAAAGAUACAAUAUCCUAAACUCAGUCUAACCUUCUACCCUAAUCCGCUUCCUCCACAACGUCCUAUCCUUUCUGAAAAUACAGAUUUAAAUUCUGAAAAUGCAGUAGGAAAGAGCAUUAUCACAUUCAGGGUAAGUUGCGCGGGUUCUUCACUUUUGAUGCCGCACCCGUGUCGGAUUCUCCAAAAGUAUACUACUUUUAGAGAAUCUGACACACACUCAUUGACAUUUUUGAAGAGUCCGAGAAACAUAGCAUUCAGGGAGUUCUAUCUUGCAUUGUCCAAGUGUGUGUGUGUCUUAAUUUGUAGCAAUAUUCCACAUUAGCUCCUCUGUGAACCCCGUUUACCUCUUUCGACAAAGCACUAGAUUUGUUAAGUAGCACUCUUGACUUAGAAAUUUCUGUAAAUAGGAUGGUCGACCAGAACAUGUGCAAAGAAGGAAUAAAAUAUACUUCAUACAUUUUUAGUUCAUUCAAGUCUUUAACAAAAAGGAUAAAAUAAAGAAAUAAAUCAAGUAAUCUCCACAUCAGUAUGUUUUCCAACAGGAAUACUCAAGUUAAUGUUCUCUCUUCUUUUUCUCCCUGAUUUUAGCGAGAAGUGAAAGUUUGUGAUGAUUCCUUAUAAUCUUUUUUGCAGUAUCUACUGUCUUGUUCUUCAUCUAAAAUUCGAAGUAUGUCUUUAUCACCAUGUUACACAAUCUUGAUUUGCUCCUUGAAAUAAAAUUUUAAUUUUUCCAAACUUUAUUAUACUCAAGUAGUAUGUAGGAUUAGUUGUAGUUUAUUAAAUUUGGUCUUUGAAGCUGGAAGGUGUUUAAACUCUGUCGAAUAUAUCCUCCUAACCUUACUCAAGCUUAUUGAGAAGUUCCUUUUUUCGUUAGUGGUCUUUAUGAAAUGCCACAUCAUGAAAUGAGAAAGAAUCUUUGUUUGAUCAUGUGUAAAUUUUCUACACAGGGUUCCCAUUGUUGCUGCAUGUGAUCGCAAAAGGAUUCUUUCAUCUUGGGCUCCUUAUUGCGGUAAUGUAAUCCCAAGGGAACUCCAGAUAGAUUUUUCAAAAGUUCGAAAUCUUACGCCUCGUCAGUUUGUGGAGAAGCUGUCCAAAGAGCUGGGAGUUCGAGGAGUUGUUGCUGGUAUGUUGUAAUAUCCUAACUUGACAUAGAGAUUCUGAUUUAAGCUAAUAAAAGAUAAAAUGAUGAUGAUAUCUUGAUAAUCUCAGGUGAGAACUAUCGUUUUGGUUAUAGAGCUGCUGGUGAUGUAUCAGACCUUGUGAAGCUCUGUGACGAGUAUGGGUUAGAGGCUUAUAUAAUCAAUUCUGUCAUGGACACUAAUCAAAUUUCCGGAGCCUUAAACUCGCGUAAUGGAAAGGAGAGAGGGCAAGUAUCAUCUACUCGUGUUAGGUAUGCCCUUGACAAGGGAGACAUGAAAUAUGUCUCUGAGCUGUUAGGUCGCAGCCAUCGUCUUGUUUUAAUUAUGGAAGACCAAGAAAGGUUUAGUAGUGAGAGAAAUAGGCUGUCAGCUCCAAAAUCUUGUUUGUUGAAUCUUGCACCCAAGGAAGGUGUUUAUGAGAAUUGUUCCGCUUCGAUUGACAAGAAUGUUAUACCCUGCAGAGUAAUAAUUGAUACAACAGAUAUUCAUUUCGAAUGCUAUGAGGUAGCUAAUUUUUCCUGUAUUACUUCUCGAGAUUUAAAGAUAUUGGGUAUUGACUUUGGUAGUCCAGAGUUAGAUGGGGUUCAAAUUUUGUAAUUCAUUCCCUAUAAUUCGUUAGGGCAACCAUUUUUGAAUGUCCUGCAGUCUUUUAGUAUGAGUACAACUCUUUACGCUAUACAUUUCUGCACAAUUCACAUACUUUUGGAGGGAAUAUAGCUGAGUUUACUGAUAUUCUGAAUGCUAAGAAACUGAUACUAUGACCAGAAUCGAAAUGAUAAUUGAUAAAUGUGCUACAAGAGGGCAUAUAGAAUUAUGAAAUGACUUUUGAUCAUUACCAUACAUAAUGGAUUUUGUUCUAUCACUAUAAGUAGAUUGAUUAGCAUCUUGGUUACUGCUACAGUGUUGCGCUUUCUUUGCUAGAGUAGUUAGCACCUUGGUUACUGUUAACUCUUUCUUUGUUCUUCUUGUAUUCGUUCUCUUUUAUUACAAUUCUGUUUAUGCUUUCCGCCAAUAUCUUUAGUGAAGUCCAUUUCCUUCAAUUGCAGUAAUUGUUGAAAUGUGUGAACCAUCUCAUCUAAAUCUUUGGACUGUUAUAGGGGGGCACAUUUACUUAUUUUUAACUUGCAAGGCAUUUCGCCUCAUCUAAAAUCUUAAAUAACUACUAUAAAAAUGGAACACUUAUUUCUUUUAACUUCGUUUUCUCUCCAACAGUAGUGAAUGCAAUGUCUAUAAUCACUGUUUAUGACCACUUAGUGUGAGCAUGUUUGAAUCUUUAUCAUGAAUUCUUCUUGUAGACUUCUGCUCUCUCAUUCAUGUUAAGAGUUGUUUUACAUGAUUUGCAUUACCGGUCCCUCACUUCUAUGAAUCUUGUUCAUCAUCAUCAAGUGGGUGGUCAUCUGGAAUAUUUUGUUUCAUGGAUAAGGAAAUCUUGCAGCAAUCUUUAAGAGUACUGUUGAGCUAAGAGCAAUGAACUAGAGAGUAAUGUGAGCUAGAGAGUCAUGUGCUAAGGCUAAGAAUAUGAAGCGGAAAAAAAAGGAGAAGACUUAGGGCAGGGAACUUGGUCCCUCUUGCGUUGAUAUGAGUUAUUUGGAGAGAGAAAUAGGAGGGUAAUGGGAAAGGUUGCAUCUCUGUUAACUUGAGGCAAAAAUCUUGUUAGCAGUUUCAAUGGGAAUCCAUAGGUACUUACUGAAAGUGAAGUUCUUCUUUGAAAGAUCGUAAGAUAUCCUACACACUCGGCUAUAACUGGUAACGAGAAGGUUCUGUGACUAAUACUAUAUGUAAAUCACCCUAUGAGAUUGUUUUCUCCACCAAAGCUAUGAUUCUCUUGUCGGUCUUCAAGUUGUUCCUGACAAAUCAGAUCAACAGGAAGGGGCUAGUCGUUGUACUUCUUUGCAGUCCUUUUGGUGUAUAAGGACUUCAGUGAUCUUUCAAGGAUCUUAUAGUCCUCUGUGGGUUUGCUUGACGGGUUGUCUAUUCGCAUCUGGAGUAACAUGCUACUUGAAUCAACAUUUCGGGUAUUCCAGCAGAUGUUGUAAGUUAGAUUUAUGAACUUCUGCUGGCCAGUUUUAGCUAAUCUACAUUCUACAUGGUAGUUUGAUAUCCUCAAGAGCUGGAAAAUUGUUGUUCUUAUGAAGCAGCACGGGGAAUCCUCUUAGCCUCUUUUCUUCAAAACUUGCAUUUUGCUAACAUGAGUCAUUUCUGCAAAUGAAAAACACUCUGAAUAUAUAUUGACAAAUUAUAGCAUCCAACGGUGUGGCCUAGUGGUCAAUGAAGUGGGGUUGAGAACCUGAAUCCCCACAGAGGCAAAAGAAUACUAGGUGACUCUUUCCAUCUGUCCUAGCCUUUGUGGACAGAGCACCUGGUGUCUGUUGUUGGUGGGAGGUGACAGGUAUUCCGUAGAUUUAGUCGAGUUGCACAAAAGCUGGUCUGGACACCACAGUUAUCAAAAAAAAAAAAUUGACAAAUUAUGUCAAUAUAAUGCAUAUAGUAACUUAUUUUUGGAUUUCUAUCACUGCCUGUUGUUUCAGUAUCUUAUUAUCUUGUUGUUGUUCCUGUUUGUUGUUAUUGCCUCUUUCACUGUUUGUUUAGCCGAAUGUCUUUCAGAAACAACCUCUCUAACUUCUCAAAGGUAGGAAUAAAGUAUGCGUACACUUAGUUCUUUGUUUUCUCUAGACCUCACUUGUGG
This 38033-nucleotide long non-coding RNA is filed under the name Capsicum annuum. Its description in RNAcentral is "long non-coding RNA (CANN_LNC007733)". Lineage: Eukaryota; Viridiplantae; Streptophyta; Magnoliopsida; Solanales; Solanaceae. The record is from RNAcentral.